AGGGAGGUAGCAGGGAGUGGGGAAAUGGGGAAGAAGUGGAUGGAUUCUGGAGCUGUUUUGAAGAUAGUCAAUAUGGUUCGCUGAUAGUUUGGAAGGGGCUUGACUUAACCUUAAAUUGACUCUGCGUUCAUAUUUUCCAAAACCGUUUCCCAUAGAGAUGAGAGGAAUGUUUUACAGUUGCUUCUGAUCAGGUUUUUGAUUGGAGACCAAAAGCAAAUUCAGCCCCUGCAAUAGGAUUUUGGUUUCUUUUAUGCUUUAAGAAGAGUAUUCUUGUAUCACCCAUCAUCUAUUUGUUCUUUUCUUUCAAAGUAGGGCUGUGUUGACCAUCCCAUCGUUUUGACAGAAGCGGUGUGCAACCCACUGUAUUCACGACAAAUGAUGUCUGAGCUCCUUUUUGAGUGCUACGGGGUUCCCAAGGUUGCCUAUGGAAUAGACAGCCUGUUCAGCUUCUACCACAAUAAGCCAAAGACCUUGAUUUCCAGUGGGCUCAUCAUUUCAUCUGGCUACCAGUGCACACAUAUUUUACCCAUCUUAGAAGGGAGGUUAGAUGCUAAAAAUUGCAAACGCAUCAAUCUGGGAGGAAGUCAAGCAGCUGGCUACCUCCAGCGUCUCCUGCAGCUGAAGUAUCCUGGGCACCUGGCAGCUAUCACACUCAGCCGCAUGGAGGAGAUCCUGCACGAGCACAGCUACAUCGCGGAGGAUUAUGUGGAAGAAUUGCAGAAAUGGCGGUGCCCUGACUAUUAUGAAAACAAUGUGCACAAGAUGCAGCUCCCAUUUUCCAGUAAACUGCUCGGCAGCACUCUGACCGCUGAGGAGAAGCAGGAAAGGCGGCAGCAGCAGCUGCGUCGGCUGCAGGAGCUGAAUGCCCGGCGGCGGGAGGAGAAGUUGCAGCUUGAUCAGGAGCGGCUAGACAGACUGCAGUACGUGCAGGAACUUCUAGAGGAUGGCCAGAUGGAUCAAUUUCACAAAGCCCUGAUGGAGCUGAACAUGGACUCCCCAGAAGAGCUGCAGUCCUACAUACACAAGCUCAGUUCGGCCGUGGAGCAAGCUAAGCAGAAAAUCCUCCAAUCCGAAGUCACCCUCGAGGUGGAUGUGGUGGACAGCAAGCCUGAGACCCCUGACCUAGAGCCACUAGAGCCGUCCCUGGAAGACGUGGAAAACAUCAAUGAUUUUGAACCCUUGUUUUCAGAGGAAACGCCAGAAGUGGAGAAGCCGGUCGCUGCUGUCCAGCCCGUGUUUAACUUGGCAGCGUAUCACCAGCUGUUUGUUGGGACAGAAAGAAUUCGGGCUCCAGAGAUUAUCUUCCAGCCAUCUCUCCUAGGCGAAGAGCAGGCUGGGAUAGCGGAGACCCUUCAGUACAUUCUGGACAGGUACCCAAAGGACGUUCAGGAGGUGCUGGUUCAGAACGUUUUCCUCACUGGCGGGAACUUGAUGUAUCCUGGCCUAAAAGUUAGAAUCGAAAAGGAACUGUUGGCAAUGAGACCCUUUCAGUCAUCUUUUCAGGUUCAGCUUGCCUCUAACCCUGUGCUGGAUGCCUGGUAUGGUGCUCGGGACUGGGCCUUGGACCACCUGGAUGACGAUGCCGUCUGGAUCACCAGGAAAGAAUAUGAAGAGAAGGGAGGAGAGUACUUCAAGGAGCAUUCUGUUUCCAACAUCUACGUCCCCAUCCACCUGCCAAAGCAGGCUUCACGCUCCUCUGAAGCCCAGGCGUCAGGCAAAGGCUCAGGGGCCAGUGGAGGCAGUGCUGGUGAGCAGGCAUAACAGAGGGGCCCCUCUCGGAUCUUGGGCCAUGUCGGCUAGUGUGACAGGACAGUGACUGUGCUAGAUGUGUCUGGCCCAAGUCUGCUGGGAACAUUGGGCUGCAAGAUGGAUUUCUCCUGGGGAGAACAUGAAGGGACACUGGGAGUUACCCUCUAAAACUUUCCCUUCCUCUGGGGGCUUCUGCAGUGAAGAAACUUCCAGUGACUUGGUGUCUUUGUUGAACCACGAUGAGCGGUAGUAUCUGCUGCCUACAGUAGUAAAUGAAGACAGUGGAGGACAGAAAUGCCCUUAUUUGUUACUGCAUUUUAAAUCCCUUUUUGUUUUCAAAAACGUUUAAAAUGUAUAUUGUCAGUGUAGAUAUUUUUCUACAUUUAUUCAGAAGUUGUGUGAAUGCCCAGCAGUUUGAGGUCUUCCACAUACAUGUAAAAAGAUAAUAUUUAUGUAAUCAGAGUUCUCCACAAAACCUCAGGAGCUGUGAAUAUUUCUCUUUUCCUAUUACUUCCUCUUUCAAAUGAGAGAAAAGGGCCCAAAGAGGGAAAUCAGGUUGUACAGUGUAAGUCUGGUAGGGGCCUGCGUGGCGCCCACUUCCGAAUGGGCAGAAAUGGGGUCUUGGUCCAGCUUUUGUUCAAACUUUUUUUGCUGGAAACUUUUCCAGCACAUGAGACCUUCCUACAAAUUUUUAAAAUUUUGUGCUUGUGUGUUUUGGCUGCGUAACAUUUUCUGGCCUUUCUAAAGAAAGAAGUGGGCUGGAGAAGGUUACUCCUCUGUAGCCUUUUCAGUGUUGCCAUACCUCAUUCCCUGCACCUUUGUAGCUCCAUCUUAGGUGGACAAAUGACCCCUCUCUUUUACAGAGAUUGCUUGGUAAGAGGUUUAACUCUCAGACACCCAGUAAUUGAGCCCAGAAGGCCCCUGAGAUGCUAGUGUCCUGUCUCAGGGUCCGUACAUUUCAGUGCCAUGGAGCCUCUAGCUCUGAUGCCUCUGAUGAGGCCACCUCAGCACCUGUUUGCUCAGUUUACCAAGGGCGAGCACCUGGAACUCCACUCUUAGGGGCCUAGAAACUGAAGACCAGGAGGGGGCAGUGGUGAUUGUGAGAAGGAAGAAAACUUGGGCCGACUCAAGAUCUCCCACGCGUUGCUAGUGAGCCACUGGCCGUCCAAGCUUGGGCCCACGGACUGAUGAUCUGGUAAUAACCAUGAGCUGCUAAGAAAGGAUAGGUGCAAAGAAGGCAAAAGCAGCCUCCAUGUGAGAAAGAUUUUCCUAGCACAUUUCCAGGGCUCGGUCCCUAGUGUGGGGCGUGCAGGAGGCAACCCAUCAAUGAUUAAUUGCUUUUGACCUGGAGUCUUUUCCCCAUCGUCAACAGUUUAAACAGCCUGAACAGCAGUGGUGAGUGGUCAAGAUGGCCAUGGAAGUCAAGCUGCCCUGAAGGGGAAGGUCCCUCAGUGGGCAGGAAACAAAUAACUUGCCAAUAAAUUGGAGGAGUCCUAGCAAUAUCAGCACCUGGAUGGCAACAGCUUUACCCAGGUAAGCUGGCUCUGGCAGGGAAGGAGUAGAGAAGGGUGUGGAAAGUGCACGGGAUCAGAACUGACGGUCUUGGUGAGGUACCCCUUCGGGGGGUGAGCUCGGCACCUCAGAAGCCAGAGGUGGUGUAAUGGAGAGCACAGAGGGGCUGGUGAUAGACUUACUAAAGCAACAGAACCCGAGGAAGCCUGUCCACAAAAGCUGCUAAGUAUUAAUGAGUCUGUGUCUCACUAGCACCAGGAGGGGGAGUCCUUGAGAAACAAAACCACCCAAACCCUCUCCCUGCCCCGCUUCUUACUGUAUCCUGCUAAUCGUUUAGGUAAACCUAGCAUGCUCAAAUGUCCACCUUAAUACAAUGAAACUGCAGCAUCUUUAUGGGAAUAUAGUAGGAAGAGACCAAAACCAGAAAAUUCAAACAUUUUAGCAGGUAAAACAUACUUAUUAAGAAAAAAAAGCCAUUAUAGGUAGAAGAAAAAUGUAAUGCAAUAUUCCAACAGGAAUUAAAAACAACUGGACAAGCAAAUGCAGUGAGACAGCACAGCACAAAUGAAAAACUUGAUGGAGAUGACCACACAACAGGUAGAAGUGAAUGGGAACUGACAGGACUCAAAGGAUUGAAUUAAAGUAUCUCAGAAACCUAAAUUCAAGAUGCACAAGGGGAAGAUAUUCAACUGAAAGAGAAAGAGAAAAUAAGAGAAAGUGACAAGAAAAAGAGGCAAAGGCAAUCUAAAUUUAAUAUUGUUGAAAAUUCAACUAUAUUGAAUUUUAUAUUGAGAAUAGAAGAAAAUGGGACAAAAUUAAUAUUAGGAUGGUAAUUCAAUAAAACUUUCCUCCCCAUGAAAA
Molecule: RNA transcript, 4122 nt
Organism: Myotis davidii
Lineage: Eukaryota; Metazoa; Chordata; Mammalia; Chiroptera; Vespertilionidae
Gene: ACTR5
Gene name: ARP5 actin-related protein 5 homolog (yeast)
Exons: 9
Source: RefSeq, a predicted model, not a curated record